Molecule: long non-coding RNA, 1173 nt
Filed under: Homo sapiens (human)
Lineage: Eukaryota; Metazoa; Chordata; Mammalia; Primates; Hominidae
Description: HSALNT0165550
Source: RNAcentral
GGGUAAAGUUCAGUGACUUGAACUUCAAAAGAAUGGAGGUUUAUGAGAGAGGAAAGAGGGUGUUUCAAUGGCGAGAACGAAGGAUCCUGACCCCACCUCCAUUCAGAGCAUACGAGGUUGUGAAAAGAAAGGUUGCCACUACUGAGAGAGCUGCAGGGAGUAUCUGAAGGCACUGGAAUGCAGCAAUGCUUCUAGAACUGCAGAGGUUUAUUCUGGAUAAAAUAAUUGCAAUUAGAUUGUAAGCCAUCAGGAGUGCAAGUAAGAAGAUCAAUUAAGGGGCCAUGGAAAGUUCCAGGUGCAAAGCCUCCCAUUUUGCCUUGAGGACCAUAGCAAAUACCUCCUUUCUGGAUGGACAAGGGAGACCCUUGUCAGCAAGAAUUGUGCUACAGUCUCCCAGCCUAACCACAAGGACACACAAGGACUAGAACAUUCGCUCUGCUUCUACACAGCAUUGGCAAGAGUUUGAACACCUCUUUCUCAAACCAACAGCAAGAGUUGCCCAGGAAGUGCAUUCACUAACAUACUCCCCUAAAUAUUCUUGUGUGAAAAGAAGAGAUAUGUUGCCAUGAAUGGGUCUUUCAGUUGGUAUUUGUAGGACUGCAAAGUUGCAAAGCUGGCAACAUGGUAAUAGCUUAGAGUGUUAAAUUUUGUGAUUUACUACUUGAUAUGGUAGCACAAAAUUAGAACUACAAGAAGAAUAAAGGCUUGGUCACCUUACCUGUAAGAUCUACUAAUGACAAUAACUUUAUAGAGAAAAUUGCUCCUCUUUAAGCAAUGCCUCAUCUGACUUGAUGCUCUCUGCUGCAGAAGGUGAAAUUGCAACAAUUACAAACUUGAUCUUGGCUGUGACCCCUGAAUUGACCUUUUGAAGGAACCUGGAUUAUGUCUGAAUCUAUUAUCUCUGCAAGGAGACCAGCUGUCUUCAGAAUUGCUUUUGGGGCCCCGUAAUGUCAUCGUGAAAUUGCAGUUAGUAAUCUUGCCAACAAUUUCCAGAUUUGGUGCAGAUAAGCUUGAACACAUUUGACUCUUUGGUUUCCAAUGUUAUUUAGAGAAUUGGAUGACUUAAAGCAUUUAUUUUUUUCAACUCAAUUCUUAUCAUAAUCCAUCAACAUCACUGUGUUUUUAUUCUCUAUUUCAUUUUUAUAUGAUCCUAUUAGUUGAGAGAAACACAAG